AUUGAACGCUGGCGGCAGGCCUAACACAUGCAAGUCGAGCGGAUGAAGGGAGCUUGCUCCUGGAUUCAGCGGCGGACGGGUGAGUAAUGCCUAGGAAUCUGCCUGGUAGUGGGGGAUAACGUCCGGAAACGGGCGCUAAUACCGCAUACGUCCUGCGGGAGCAAGUGGGGGAUCUUCGGACCUCACGCUAUCAGAUGAGCCUAGGUCGGAUUAGCUAGUUGGUGGGGUAAAGGCCUACCAAGGCGACGAUCCGUAACUGGUCUGAGAGGAGGAUCAGUCACACGGGAACUGGGACACGGUCCAGACGCCUACGGGAGGCAGCAGUGGGGAAUAUUGGACAAUGGGCGAAAGCAUGAUCCAGCCAUGCCGCGUGUGUGGAGAAGGUCUUCGGAUUGUAAAGCACUUUAAGUUGGGAGGAAGGGCAGUAAGUUAAUACCUUGCUGUUUUGACGUUACCAACAGAAUAAGCACCGGCUAACUUCGUG
This 484-nucleotide ribosomal RNA is filed under the name uncultured bacterium. RNAcentral describes it as "partial 16S ribosomal RNA". It matches the Rfam family "Bacterial small subunit ribosomal RNA", at positions 30 to 507 of the family's 1533-position model. The record is from RNAcentral.